AAAUCUUAGAACAUGAUUUGUGUUCUGCUGCCUUCUGCACAUGCCAUGUUUAUUAAAAUGGAUCAUGUUUUAGCUCUGUUUGUUCAGCAAGUUACACCCCUUUGUUACAACAUUCAGCUUAGACAAGUGGGGGGGGGGGUGUAAUUAAAAGUGCCUUUCAGUUCCACAGUUUGGUUUCCAUGACAGUCUUGAUGCACUAUUAUGUUUAAGGUUUUGAUUUUUUCAUGUUAUAGUAUAUACACACUAUAUAGAAAUAUAUUGCUUAAUAUUAUCAUAUUAUUCACUGUUCUUGUGUCACGAUUGUGGAAUUGUCAUUAACUUUUGAAGUCUGUGUGUGAAAUACUGAAACAAAUUUUUUUUUUUCUUCAGUAUAUUUAAGUUUUCAUACAGUAUUUUUCACUUUUUCUCCUUUUUUCUUUCUUUCAGAAGAAUUCUCCAUCCAAGCCGUCGGUGGCUGAGCUGGCCGGAAAGUUCAAAGGUCAUAUUCUUCCAAUACCCAACUCAAAUGGCGAGCCUCGAAGACGACCUCCGUGUUCCCUGAAGUUGCGAAAUCAAACGGAUGAUAACGACGAGUUAGAUGUGAGUCACCGCGUUCGUUCAUUGACCCGCGUGUUACGUUUGGCUUCUUGAAAGUCCCCAGAAGACAGACUUGGAUUUGUUUACUGUGCAUGUUCAUUGCAGCCUCACAGUUUCAACAUAGUGGGUAGUGUAAUGUUGAUAAAUGUGGUAUUUUAUUAUUUGUGUUUUUAGUUUUCUUCUUCUGCCUCAAUCAUUGGGAAAGGCCUGUUGUUUUUCCUCCCAGUAAAAUGACAACAUGCCAAACAAACUACGCAAAUCUAUCAUUGAGUUAUGGGCCAAUAAAAAGCACAACAGAAAUGU
This is a long non-coding RNA of Haplochromis burtoni (Burton's mouthbrooder), 879 nucleotides long. RefSeq lists it as uncharacterized. The record is from RefSeq and is a predicted model, not a curated record. NCBI's taxonomy places the organism in Eukaryota, Metazoa, Chordata, Actinopteri, Cichliformes, Cichlidae. The transcript has 2 exons.